RNAcentral lists this ribosomal RNA (163 nucleotides) under uncultured bacterium. RNAcentral's name for it is "partial 16S rRNA". It matches the Rfam family "Bacterial small subunit ribosomal RNA", at positions 355 to 511 of the family's 1533-position model. The record is from RNAcentral.
UAGGGAAUAUUGCACAAUGGGCGCAAGCCUGAUGCAGCCAUGCCGCGUGUGUGAAGAAGGCCUUGGGUUGUAAAGCACUUUCAGCGGGGAGGAAGGCGAUAAGGUUAAUAACCUUGUUGAUUGACGUUACCCGCAGAAGAAGCACCGGCUAACUCCGUGCCAG